ACCGUCCAGUUUUCUUGUCUAUCAGACCUAAACACUGGCCUCAGUGGUUAUAAAAGAAGAGAAAGUAAAAACGUGAAACUGAUUUCAAUUCUUUUGUGACACACGAGCUAAUUUCAAAAUAAA
Molecule: small nucleolar RNA, 123 nt
Filed under: Echinops telfairi (small Madagascar hedgehog)
Lineage: Eukaryota; Metazoa; Chordata; Mammalia; Afrosoricida; Tenrecidae
Description: Small nucleolar RNA SNORA61 (ENSETEG00000024963.1)
Source: RNAcentral